GACGAACGCUGGCGGCGUGCCUAACACAUGCAAGUCGAGCGAGUGGAGUUCUUCGGAACAAAGCUAGCGGCGGACGGGUGAGUAACACGUGGGCAACCUGCCUCAUAGAGGGGAAUAGCCUCCCGAAAGGGAGAUUAAUACCGCAUAAGAUUGUGGCUUCGCAUGAAGUAGCAAUUAAAGGAGCAAUCCGCUAUGAGAUGGGCCCGCGGCGCAUUAGCUAGUUGGUGAGGUAACGGCUCACCAAGGCGACGAUGCGUAGCCGACCUGAGAGGGUGAUCGGCCACAUUGGGACUGAGACACGGCCCAGACUCCUACGGGAGGCAGCAGUGGGGAAUAUUGCACAAUGGGGGAAACCCUGAUGCAGCAACGCCGCGUGAGUGAUGACGGCCUUCGGGUUGUAAAGCUCUGUCUUCAGGGACGAUAAUGACGGUACCUGAGGAGGAAGCCACGGCUAACUACGUGCCAGCAGCCGCGGUAAUACGUAGGUGGCGAGCGUUGUCCGGAUUUACUGGGCGUAAAGGGAGCGUAGGCGGACUUUUAAGUGAGAUGUGAAAUACCCGGGCUCAACUUGGGUGCUGCAUUUCAAACUGGAAGUCUAGAGUGCAGGAGAGGAGAAUGGAAUUCCUAGUGUAGCGGUGAAAUGCGUAGAGAUUAGGAAGAACACCAGUGGCGAAGGCGAUUCUCUGGACUGUAACUGACGCUGAGGCUCGAAAGCGUGGGGAGCAAACAGGAUUAGAUACCCAGGUAGUCCACGCCGUAAACGAUGAAUACUAGGUGUAGGGGUUGUCAUGACCUCUGUGCCGCCGCUAACGCAUUAAGUAUUCCGCCUGGG
RNAcentral lists this ribosomal RNA (832 nucleotides) under uncultured bacterium. RNAcentral describes it as "bacterial SSU rRNA". It matches the Rfam family "Bacterial small subunit ribosomal RNA", at positions 28 to 877 of the family's 1533-position model. The record is from RNAcentral.